AUGAGAAUAUCUUUGAGUUGGUCUUCAUCAUCACUCAGAAUCACACUACUGGGAAUGGCAGCAGUAUCCUUUGGCACAGCGAAGUCACCUCCAGAAAUAGUGGCUCACAGCUCUCCUCAGGUUAUGCCAAUAUCAUACGAGGCUGACUCAGCCGUACUAGAGGUGAAGAGACUUCUGAUCCUGUUCUCUGCACGCUGAACGUGGACGUGGAACGGGAGCCUCUACAGAGAUGCCAAGAAGAUUAAGUAAUCAUUGUAGCAAAACCUAACUGCAGCUGAUUGCCACUUACCAACUGCCUAGUCCUGGUGUCUCCAUUCUGCAAAAAGCAGCUACUUUCGGAAAGUGAAGCAAAAAAACUCCUCUCACUUACAACAAAGGAGCAAUUGAUAUUAUCUUUUGUGCUGAUCCAUGCUAACAUAUUAAAGUAAGCAGCAGUAUAAAGUAAGUAGUACUUGCCUUGGCUUAAUGGAUUUCACAUUUUUCUAGUUCUAAAUUUAAAAGAAUAUCAGCAAUGCAGCUCAUUUCACAGUUAAAUACCAUAUAUCUGCUUAGAAAUAGUUUGAGUUGAGAUAUAUGCUAGUCAAAAUUGUAGUCUGAGCUCUCCUGUUUCUUUCAGCUUUUCCAACAAUAAAUGUAUCAGAAAUUCCUCA
This 650-nucleotide long non-coding RNA is filed under the name Anser cygnoides (Swan goose). RNAcentral describes it as "lncRNA (ENSACDG00005014245.1)". Lineage: Eukaryota; Metazoa; Chordata; Aves; Anseriformes; Anatidae. The record is from RNAcentral.